GGGCCCGCACAAGCAGUGGAGUAUGUGGUUUAAUUCGAAGCAACGCGAAGAACCUUACCAAGGCUUGACAUAAUAGUGAAUAUGGCAGAGAUGUCAUAGUCCUUCGGGACACUAUUACAGGUGGUGCAUGGUUGUCGUCAGCUCGUGUCGUGAGAUGUUGGGUUAAGUCCCGCAACGAGCGCAACCCCUGUUGCUAGUUGAUAACAUUUAGUUGAUCACUCUAGCGAGACUGCCGGUGAUAAAUCGGAGGAAGGUGGGGACGACGUCAAAUCAUCAUGCCCCUUAUGUCUUGGGCUACACACGUACUACAAUGGCUAUUACAGAGGGAAGCUAAGCUGCAAAGUGGAGCAAAUCCCCAAAAAUAGUCCCAGUUCAGAUUGUGGGCUGCAACCCGCCCACAUGAAGUCGGAAUUGCUAGUAAUGGCAGGUCAGCAUACUGCCGUGAAUACGUUCCCGGGCCUU
RNAcentral lists this ribosomal RNA (462 nucleotides) under uncultured bacterium. RNAcentral describes it as "bacterial SSU rRNA". It matches the Rfam family "Bacterial small subunit ribosomal RNA", at positions 917 to 1382 of the family's 1533-position model. The record is from RNAcentral.